UGGAUAAUGGAUGGAUGGAUGUAUUAGGACCUUCCAAGUCAGAUGAAUAGCCAUUACUGUGGAAUUUCCAUGUUGAUGGUGUGACCAUUUCAUAUUGUAACUAUCAUUUUUGUGUCUGUCUGUAUUUAAUGUUGUGUCCAGGGUUUCAAAGGACCAUUUUGUGGUGUCUCUGUAUUUCAUCCUCGAGGCCCCCUUCAGUUUUAAUGAGCAUACUGUCCAUAGUGGUUUUGAAGUUCCAGAAACGCCUACCUUUCGAAAUCCAGAUAUUUUAAAUGUUUAGACUUUAUUGAGCCAUUAAUGAGAAGACAGAGUAAAGACUUGGCACUACAUCUUAAAUGAAAAAAAAUGUCUUGCUAUUCUGCUCCACAGCACUGCGUUCUGCAGGUUUCAGGUCUUUACUUUUAGAAGAAACGUCAGCCUCCCUUCUUCAACAUCCAGCACAUGGCACUGAUGAGCAGCAACACAGAAUCCUUCAGCAUCUUACCGAGGCAGAGAAGUGGUGUGCUGAGAACAUUUCUGUGUUCAGGGUGCACAUCUCACUCCCUUCAUUACUGUCAAUGGACAAAGACGACAUUGAGGAGGCCCUUCAAAAAUUUGAUUUGCUAUCUGAAUUUCCAGAAGAAGAGGAGAGGGAAUAUGUCCUUAGACUCUUCAUCAUCCUUUAUUUCACAUAUGGAAGACAUGCAUCCGUUUUUAGAUAACGUGAGAGGAAAAAGGAAAAUGACUGUGUUGUCAGAAAAUGUAACAAACAUACAUGUCCCUCAUUGUUCA
Long non-coding RNA from Polypterus senegalus (gray bichir), 771 nucleotides. RefSeq lists it as uncharacterized. NCBI's taxonomy places the organism in Eukaryota, Metazoa, Chordata, Cladistia, Polypteriformes, Polypteridae. The record is from RefSeq and is a predicted model, not a curated record. The transcript is spliced from 4 exons.